This 73-nucleotide transfer RNA is filed under the name Amblydoras gonzalezi. RNAcentral describes it as "tRNA-Asn". It matches the Rfam family "tRNA". Rfam says of the family: Transfer RNA (tRNA) molecules are approximately 80 nucleotides in length. Lineage: Eukaryota; Metazoa; Chordata; Actinopteri; Siluriformes; Doradidae. The record is from RNAcentral.
UAGAUGAAUGCUCGCUGGCUGGAGCGUCUAGCUGUUAACUAGAAGUUUGUAGGAUCGAGGCCUUCUCAUCUAG